UUAUCUUCGGAUUUUUGGAUCAAGGGUGGCCUCUACAUGUAAGCUACUGUUUGAAGAUGAGCCCGCGUACCAUUAGCUUGUUGGUGGGGUAACGGCCUACCAAGGCAACGAUGGUUAGCUGGUCUGAGAGGAAGAUCAGCCACACUGGAACUGACACACGGUCCAGACUCCUACGGGAGGCAGCAGUGAGGAAUUUUGCGCAAUGGGGGAAACCCUGACGCAGCAACGCCGCGUGAGUGAUGAAGGCUUUCGGGUCGUACAGCUCUGUCAAGUGGGAAGAACCUAUGUAAUGUUAAUACCAUUACGUACUGACGGUACCACUGAAGGAAGCACCGGCUAACUCCGUGCCAGCAGCCGCGGUAAUACGGGGGGUGCAAGCGUUAUUCGGAAUCAUUGGGCGUAAAGAGCACGUAGGCGGCCUGGUAAGUCAGAUGUGAAAGCCCGGGGCUUAACCCCGGAAGUGCAUUUGAUACUGUCAGGCUUGAGUAUGGGAGAGGGAAGUGGAAUUCCUGGUGUAGAGGUGAAAUUCGUAGAUAUCAGGAGGAACACCGGUGGCGAAGGCGACUUCCUGGACCAAUACUGACGCUGAGGUGCGAAGGCGUGGGUAGCAAACAGGAUUAGAUACCCUGGUAGUCCACG
RNAcentral lists this ribosomal RNA (639 nucleotides) under uncultured bacterium. RNAcentral describes it as "bacterial SSU rRNA". It matches the Rfam family "Bacterial small subunit ribosomal RNA", at positions 163 to 799 of the family's 1533-position model. The record is from RNAcentral.